Long non-coding RNA from Gasterosteus aculeatus aculeatus (three-spined stickleback), 2061 nucleotides. NCBI's taxonomy places the organism in Eukaryota, Metazoa, Chordata, Actinopteri, Perciformes, Gasterosteidae. The record is from Ensembl.
GCCGAGGCGCGGGGCGGAGCCUGAGACUUUGUAAACAACUCCCACGCUGCUUUUAAGCGCGUCGGCUGUAUUUACUACGGGAGGGCGCGACGGUGCUGCUGCCAAACAGGUAUGGGGUGCCGUCACUGGGGUGAACACAAGACUGGAGGAGGAUCUGAGAAGAGCUUACAGUGAGUGCCAGCUGGGCUCUGCUGCUGCUGCUGUUGUACAGUGCACGCUACUUCAGAGAAGUCAACCUCACUGCACUCCAUCCGCCCCAUUGAGCCGCCAGCGCUGGCAAUCAAUUCUGAGCCUUGUGCUGUCGCUGAUGGCCUCUGGACACGGCAGCUGGGUGCAGGAAGACAAGCGCUCUUCCACGGGAGUCUGUCCCCCGAUCAGCUGCAGCCAGCUGUCCGGCAACAGCGCGCCGCCAUUCAGAGCGGCAGCCGCCGCCGCUGCUGCCGCUGUUGCCGCUGCUGCCGGUGGAGCGAGACCUCCUUUACUGCCGUCACCGCCGCUGCCAAGUCCCCUUUCAACGUACUUUUUUUUUUUUUUUACCCCCUUCUUCCUUCCAAAGUUUUCAACCGUACGGACUCGCGACCCUUGAGCCUCGCGACAGGCCUCGUAUGUCUGUCUGGGCCGUCUCCCAGUCGCUUUCUUCACCCCGAGUCAAAUUGUCCAUCUGUCUCCGCUUUUACCAACUUUUUCCUCCGCUAAUUUCCACCUCGCUUUCUCUCUCGCCCAGUCUUCCCUCCCGUACCCAUCCCUCUUUUUCCUUCUUUGUUGGUUACCAUGUCUCAGUUUCUCCGCUCCUUUCUCUCCCCUUUUUUUUUUCGUUUGCCACUCGCUCUUAUUUCCGCACAAAUUCCAUCUCAUUCUUUGUCGCAAUCCAACCCCCCCCCCCCCCCCCCCCCCCCCCCACAAAAUGUCACAAUACUGUAUCUUUUCUUCCCCCUUUUCUUUCGAGUAACUUCUUCUUCUGUCCCCCUUUUUCUCAUUUUUCUCUUUUUACAGGUGUAAGGCGGGAUUUACAUUUUCUCAGGACAGGCACCCGUGAAGAGAAGCCUGCUGGCAGAUCAAAGGCUCCGGCUGUAAAACGAUCUGAAAGAGUCCGGCUUUAGCAUCCAUCAGGGUACCUUGAAAGCUCCCUGGUCAGCCGAGAGGGAAGCUGAGGGCCCCUGUAGGAUAUUAGAAACAAAUAUACGACCCGGUUCAUAAAAUUAAUAAAAAUGCAUAUAGUGUACACCAGAAUACAGCCAUGAUUCUGAAACUGUAAUCAAUAAAGUAAUGACAAUAUUGUAAAACCACUGUAAUUCUGCAACUGCAAUAGAAUAAUACCAAUGCAGUUAUGAUUGUAUUUGAUGUAAUGUAAUCAACUGGAAUGCAUGCAUGUAAUACUUGCACAACAACUGAUAUUGACUAAGGAUCAUUCGAAAUCCGAGUUACAUUGAACUCACCAGAAGACCACUCCCAGAGGUGUGGACACUAACUUUCACACCUUUAAGCAUUGUUAUAAAUACCUUGUAGGAACCAUUGUUCUGGAGUUCGCUGGUGGAGGCGACAGACGGCACUAGGGAUGGUCAAAAGGACUGACCUGGGGCCUGUUGGUUGCCAGCGUCUCCUCAGCUGAGAUGUUCUUUUUACCACAACACCAUCUCUUUUAUUAAAUACAUUUGAUUUUAACCUUUUGAUCAGCGAUGACCUCUGUCCGUCUGGCGUUUCUUCAUUUUUGAACACAACACCCCCCAAAGUGAAGAGGGGGUGGGGGGUGAUGGAGGGGCGGAGGGACAGUAGAAGGUGGGUGGAGAGAGAGAGAGAGAGAGAGAGAGAGAGGCUUCUUGGAGGGAGGAAAAUUCCCAUAACAAGCUGCAUGUUUUCACUUUUCUUUUGGAUUCAGCCCCCUCAUCCCUUCCUUCAGCUUUAACCUUCUAUCCAGCAAACUUGAGUUGAGGCUGUAAGGGGAGAACCUCUCCAUCUGUGCACCAUCUCCACUCCGCUCACCAAAACCCAGACUUUUACUACUCCACCCUGCAGUCUUCACACAGGGUCAAGUCUGGUCGGGGGGGGGGGGGGGGGGGGGGG